Molecule: transfer RNA, 74 nt
Filed under: Psychroflexus sp.
Lineage: Bacteria; Pseudomonadati; Bacteroidota; Flavobacteriia; Flavobacteriales; Flavobacteriaceae
Description: tRNA-His
Rfam family: tRNA
About the family: Transfer RNA (tRNA) molecules are approximately 80 nucleotides in length. Their secondary structure includes four short double-helical elements and three loops (D, anti-codon, and T loops). Further hydrogen bonds mediate the characteristic L-shaped molecular structure. tRNAs have two regions of fundamental functional importance: the anti-codon, which is responsible for specific mRNA codon recognition, and the 3' end, to which the tRNAs corresponding amino acid is attached (by aminoacyl-tRNA synthetases). tRNAs cope with the degeneracy of the genetic code in two manners: having more than one tRNA (with a specific anti-codon) for a particular amino acid; and 'wobble' base-pairing, i.e. permitting non-standard base-pairing at the 3rd anti-codon position.
Source: RNAcentral
GUGGUUAUAGCUCAGUUGGUUAGAGCAUCGGUUUGUGGUACCGAGGGUCGUGGGUUCGAGUCCCAUUAACCACC